GACGAACGCUGGCGGCGCGCUUAACACAUGCAAGUCGAACGGAAAGGCCUGCUUUCCCUUGUGGAUUGCGGGUACUCGAGUGGCGAACGGGUGAGUAACACGUGAGUGAUCUGCCCCCAACUUGGGUAUAAGCCUGGGAAACUGGGUCUAAUUCCCGAUAGGACUGCAGGGUGGUUCCUGUGGUGGAAAACGAUUUUCUAGUGGUUGGGGAUGAGCUCGCGGCCUAUCAGCUUGUUGGUGGGGUAAUGGCCUACCAAGGCGGCGACGGGUAGCCGGCCUGAGAGGGGGGACGGCCACAUUGGGACUGAGAUACGGCCCAGACUCCGACGGGAGGCAGCAGUGGGGAAUAUUGCACAAUGGGCGGAAGCCUGAUGCAGCGACGCCGCGUGGGGGAUGACGGCCUUCGGGUUGUAAACUCCUUGCGACCGCGAGGAAGCCACCUGGUUGGAAGGGUGGUGACGGUAGUGGUAGAAGAAGCACCGGCUAACUACGUG
Molecule: ribosomal RNA, 494 nt
Filed under: uncultured bacterium
Lineage: Bacteria
Description: partial 16S ribosomal RNA
Rfam family: Bacterial small subunit ribosomal RNA
Source: RNAcentral